CCAGACUCCUACGGGAGGCAGCAGUGGGGAAUAUUGGGCAAUGGGGGAAACCCUGACCCAGCGACGCCGCGUGAGGGAAGAAGGUUUUCGGAUUGUAAACCUCUGUCCUUGGUGACGAUAAUGACGGUAGCCAAGGAGGAAGCCACGGCUAACUACGUGCCAGCAGCCGCGGUAAUACGUAGGUGGCAAGCGUUAUCCGGAUUUACUGGGUGUAAAGGGCGUGUAGGCGGGACUGCAAGUCAGAUGUGAAAAUUAUGGGCUCAACCCAUAACCUGCAUUUGAAACUGUAGUUCUUGAGUGAUGGAGAGGCAGGCGGAAUUCCGUGUGUAGCGGUGAAAUGCGUAGAUAUACGGAGGAACACCAGUGGCGAAGGCGGCCUGCUGGACAUUAACUGACGCUGAGGCGCGAAAGCGUGGGGAGCAAACAGGAUUAGAUACCCCAGUAC
Molecule: ribosomal RNA, 445 nt
Filed under: uncultured bacterium
Lineage: Bacteria
Description: bacterial SSU rRNA
Rfam family: Bacterial small subunit ribosomal RNA
Source: RNAcentral